UACGUAGGUGGCAAGCGUUGUCCGGAAUUAUUGGGCGUAAAGCGCUCGCAGGCGGUCCUUUAAGUCUGAUGUGAAAGCCCACGGCUCAACCGUGGAGGGUCAUUGGAAACUGGGGGACUUGAGUACAGAAGAGAAGAGUGGAAUUCCACGUGUAGCGGUGAAAUGCGUAGAGAUGUGGAGGAACACCAGUGGCGAAGGCGGCCUGCUGGGCAGUGGCUGACACUGAGGCGCGAAAGCGUGGGGAGCAAACAGG
This 253-nucleotide ribosomal RNA is filed under the name uncultured bacterium. Its description in RNAcentral is "partial 16S ribosomal RNA". It matches the Rfam family "Bacterial small subunit ribosomal RNA", at positions 524 to 776 of the family's 1533-position model. The record is from RNAcentral.